Molecule: ribosomal RNA, 464 nt
Filed under: uncultured bacterium
Lineage: Bacteria
Description: SSU rRNA
Rfam family: Bacterial small subunit ribosomal RNA
Source: RNAcentral
AGAACGAACGCUGGCGGCGUGCCUAACACAUGCAAGUCGAACGAGGGGGGCAACCCCCGAGUGGCAGACGGGUGAGUAACGCGUGGUCAACCUACCCUAGAGUGGGGAAUAGCUAGCCGAAAGGUUAGCUAAUACCGCAUGAUACGUUUUGGGACAUCCCAGGACGUUGAAAGGAGCAAUCCGCUCGAGGACGGGACCGCGUCCGAUUAGCUAGUUGGUGAGGUAACGGCCCACCAAGGCUCCGAUCGGUAGCUGGUUUGAGAGAGCGACCAGCCACACUGGGACUGAGAAACGGCCCAGACUCCUACGGGAGGCAGCAGUGAGGAAUUUUCCGCAAUGGGCGAAAGCCUGACGGAGCGACGCCGCGUGUGGGAAGAAGGCCUUCGGGUCGUAAACCACUGUCGAAGGGGACUAUACUGAAGGUACCUUGGAGGAAGCCCGGCUAACUACGCGCCAGCAGCCGC